Molecule: ribosomal RNA, 492 nt
Filed under: uncultured bacterium
Lineage: Bacteria
Description: partial 16S ribosomal RNA
Rfam family: Bacterial small subunit ribosomal RNA
Source: RNAcentral
GACGAACGCUGGCGGCGCGCUUAACACAUGCCAGUCGAACGGAAAGGCCUGCUUUCCCUUGUGGAUUGCGGGUACUCGAGUGGCGAACGGGUGAGUAACACGUGAGUGAUCUGCCCCCAACUUGGGUAUAAGCCUGGGAAACUGGGUCUAAUUCCCGAUAGGACUGCAGGGUGGUGCCUGUGGUGGAAAACGAUUUUCUAGUGGUUGGGGAUGAGCUCGCGGCCUAUCAGCUUGUUGGUGGGGUAAUGGCCUACCAAGGCGGCGACGGGUAGCCGGCCUGAGAGGGUGGACGGGCACAUUGGGACUGAGAUACGGCCCAGACUCCGACGGGAGGCAGCAGUGGGGAAUAUUGCACAAUGGGCGGAAGCCUGAUGCAGCGACGCCGCGUGGGGGAUGACGGCCUUCGGGUUGUAAACUCCUUUCGACCGCGAGGAAGCCACCUGGUUGGAAGGGUGGUGACGGUAGUGGGAGAAGAAGCACCGGCUAACUACG